CGGGGUGUAGCUCAGCCUGGCUAGAGCGCCUGCUUUGGGAGCAGGAAGUCGCAUGUUCGAAUCAUGUCACCCCGA
Molecule: transfer RNA, 75 nt
Filed under: Planctomyces sp.
Lineage: Bacteria; Pseudomonadati; Planctomycetota; Planctomycetia; Planctomycetales; Planctomycetaceae
Also listed under: 1 other name
Description: tRNA-Pro
Rfam family: tRNA
About the family: Transfer RNA (tRNA) molecules are approximately 80 nucleotides in length. Their secondary structure includes four short double-helical elements and three loops (D, anti-codon, and T loops). Further hydrogen bonds mediate the characteristic L-shaped molecular structure. tRNAs have two regions of fundamental functional importance: the anti-codon, which is responsible for specific mRNA codon recognition, and the 3' end, to which the tRNAs corresponding amino acid is attached (by aminoacyl-tRNA synthetases). tRNAs cope with the degeneracy of the genetic code in two manners: having more than one tRNA (with a specific anti-codon) for a particular amino acid; and 'wobble' base-pairing, i.e. permitting non-standard base-pairing at the 3rd anti-codon position.
Source: RNAcentral